Molecule: ribosomal RNA, 117 nt
Filed under: Mustela putorius furo (domestic ferret)
Lineage: Eukaryota; Metazoa; Chordata; Mammalia; Carnivora; Mustelidae
Source: RNAcentral
GUCUACGGCCAUACCACCCUGACCGCGCCCGAUCUCAUCUGAUCUCGGAAGCUAAGCAGGGUCGGGCCUGGUUAGUACGUGGAUGGGAGAAUGCCUUUCUAAAUUGUGAUUUAGCCU